Molecule: ribosomal RNA, 497 nt
Filed under: uncultured bacterium
Lineage: Bacteria
Description: partial 16S ribosomal RNA
Rfam family: Bacterial small subunit ribosomal RNA
Source: RNAcentral
GAUGAACGCUGGCGGCGUGCCUAAUACAUGCAAGUCGAGCGAACGGACGAGAAGCUUGCUUCUCUGAUGUUAGCGGCGGACGGGUGAGUAACACGUGGAUAACCUACCUAUAAGACUGGGAUAACUUCGGGAAACCGGAGCUAAUACCGGAUGAUAUUUUGAACCGCAUGGUUCAAAAGUGAAAGACGGUCUUGCUGUCACUUAUAGAUGGAUCCGCGCUGCAUUAGCUAGUUGGUAAGGUAACGGCUUACCAAGGCAACGAUGCAUAACCGACCUGAGAGGGUGAUCGGCCACACUGGAACUGAGACACGGUCCAGACUCCUACGGGAGGCAGCAGUAGGGAAUCUUCCGCAAUGGGCGAAAGCCUGACGGAGCAACGCCGCGUGAGUGAUGAAGGUCUUCGGAUCGUAAAACUCUGUUAUUAGGGAAGAACAUAUGUGUAAGUAACUGUGCACAUCUUGACGGUACCUAAUCAGAAAGCCACGGCUAACUACGUG